GAUGAACGCUGGCGGCGUGCCUAAUACAUGCAAGUCGAGCGAACAGACGAGGAGCUUGCUCCUCUGACGUUAGCGGCGGACGGGUGAGUAACACGUGGAUAACCUACCUAUAAGACUGGGAUAACUUCGGGAAACCGUAGCUAAUACCGGAUAAUAUAUUGAACCGCAUGGUGCAAUAGUGAAAGACGGUUUUGCUGUCACUUAUAGAUGGAUCCGCGCCGCAUUAGCUAGUUGGUAAGGUAACGGCUUACCAAGGCAACGAUGCGUAGCCGACCUGAGAGGGUGAUCGGCCACACUGGAACUGAGACACGGCCCAGACUCCUACGGGAGGCAGCAGUAGGGAAUCUUCCGCAAUGGGCGAAAGCCUGACGGAGCAACGCCGCGUGAGUGAUGAAGGUCUUCGGAUCGUAAAACUCUGUUAUUAGGGAAGAACAAAUGUGUAAGUAACUAUGCACGUCUUGACGGUACCUAAUCAGAAAGCCACGGCUAACUACGUG
This 497-nucleotide ribosomal RNA is filed under the name uncultured bacterium. Its description in RNAcentral is "partial 16S ribosomal RNA". It matches the Rfam family "Bacterial small subunit ribosomal RNA", at positions 28 to 507 of the family's 1533-position model. The record is from RNAcentral.